GAAAAUAAAGCUUUCACGGUGCCCGUCGCAAUAGCCAAGAAAACUUGCUUGGCCUGCUUGUAGUUUCGCCCCGUUUCGCCCAUUCUGCUGCGUUCUGUGCGCCGCGAUGUCAAAACUGUUUGAGUUGUUGACCGAUCUCUCUUCGAGGCUCGAACAAUUGGUGUGAUGAGAGGGCAAGAUUCCGCCGCGCAGUCAUGAGACACCGCCGGUGACUCUUGGACUGUUGGCAGAGCUUCAGACCUUUCCAUCUACAGGAACCAUGGGCGAUCGAGACACGAGAGAGAAUGGAGGUCCCAGACGUCCAUCAAACACCAUUUAUCUGGAUGCAUUGGAGAGUGGUGAGGAGGACGAGCACGGCUACGUCCACCCAGCUCGACUCAAUGGCGCCGAGGUGCGGCGGCCGAGCGUACCCUACCACACCCGCAACCUCAUCAGGCAGCUGCCAUCUAGGAAUCUGG
Molecule: long non-coding RNA, 458 nt
Organism: Rhipicephalus microplus (southern cattle tick)
Lineage: Eukaryota; Metazoa; Arthropoda; Arachnida; Ixodida; Ixodidae
Source: RefSeq, a predicted model, not a curated record